GACGAACGCUGGCGGCGUGCUUAACACAUGCAAGUCGAACGGAAAGGCCCUGCUUUUGUGGGGUGCUCGAGUGGCGAACGGGUGAGUAACACGUGAGUAACCUGCCCUUGACUUUGGGAUAACUUCAGGAAACUGGGGCUAAUACCGGAUAGGAGCUCCUGCUGCAUGGUGGGGGUUGGAAAGUUUCGGCGGUUGGGGAUGGACUCGCGGCUUAUCAGCUUGUUGGUGGGGUAGUGGCUUACCAAGGCUUUGACGGGUAGCCGGCCUGAGAGGGUGACCGGCCACAUUGGGACUGAGAUACGGCCCAGACUACUACGGGAGGCAGCAGUGGGGAAUAUUGCACUAUGGGCGGAAGCCUGAUGCAGCAACGCCGCGUGCGGGAUGACGGCCUUCGGGUUGUAAACCGCUUUCGCCUGUGACGAAGCGUGAGUGACGGUAAUGGGUAAAGAAGCACCGGCUAACUACGUG
This 468-nucleotide ribosomal RNA is filed under the name uncultured bacterium. RNAcentral describes it as "partial 16S ribosomal RNA". It matches the Rfam family "Bacterial small subunit ribosomal RNA", at positions 28 to 507 of the family's 1533-position model. The record is from RNAcentral.